CAGCAGCCGCGGGAAUACGUAGGGCGCAAGCGUUGUCCGGAAUUAUUGGGCGUAAAGAGCUCGUAGGCGGUCUGUCGCGUCUGGUGUGAAAUCCCGAGGCUCAACCUCGGGCUUGCAUCGGGUACGGGCAGACUAGAGUGCGGUAGGGGAGACUGGAAUUCCUGGUGUAGCGGUGGAAUGCGCAGAUAUCAGGAGGAACACCGAUGGCGAAGGCAGGUCUCUGGGCCGCAACUGACGCUGAGGAGCGAAAGCAUGGGGAGCGAACAGGAUUAGAUACCCCUGUAGUCCCUGUCUCUUAUAA
This 301-nucleotide ribosomal RNA is filed under the name uncultured bacterium. RNAcentral's name for it is "partial 16S ribosomal RNA". It matches the Rfam family "Bacterial small subunit ribosomal RNA", at positions 509 to 809 of the family's 1533-position model. The record is from RNAcentral.